GAUGAACGCUGGCGGCGUGCCUAAUACAUGCAAGUCGAGCGAACAGACGAGGAGCUUGCUCCUCUGACGUUAGCGGCGGACGGGUGAGUAACACGUGGAUAACCUACCUAUAAGACUGGGAUAACUUCGGGAAACCGGAGCUAAUACCGGAUAAUAUAUUGAACCGCAUGGUUCAAUAGUGAAAGACGGUUUUGCUGUCACUUAUAGAUGGAUCCGCGCCGAAUUAGCUAGUUGGUAAGUUAACGGCUUACCAAGGCAACGAUGCGUAGCCGACCUGAGAGGGUGAUCGGCCACACUGGAACUGAGACACGGUCCAGACUCCUACGGGAGGCAGCAGUAGGGAAUCUUCCGCAAUGGGCGAAAGCCUGACGGAGCAACGCCGCGUGAGUGAUGAAGGUCUUCGGAUCGUAAAACUCUGUUAUUAGGGAAGAACAAAUGUGUAAGUAACUAUGCACGUCUUGACGGUACCUAAUCAGAAAGCCACGGCUAACUACGUG
This 497-nucleotide ribosomal RNA is filed under the name uncultured bacterium. RNAcentral describes it as "partial 16S ribosomal RNA". It matches the Rfam family "Bacterial small subunit ribosomal RNA", at positions 28 to 507 of the family's 1533-position model. The record is from RNAcentral.